GUGGGGAAUUUUCCACAAUGGGCGAAAGCCUGAUGGAGCAAUGCCGCAUGGAGGUGGAAGGCCUACGGGUCGUAAACUUCUUUUCUCGGAGAAGAAACAAUGAUGGUAUCUGAGGAAUAAGCAUCGGCUAACUCUGUGCCAGCAGCCGCAGUAAGACAGAGGAUGCAAGCGUUAUCCGGAAUGAUUGGGCGUAAAGUGUCUGUAGGUGGCUUCUCAAGUCCGCUGUCAAAUCCCAGGGCUCAACCCUGGACAGGUGGUGGAAACUACCAAGCUGGAGUACGGUGGGGGCAGAGGGAAUUUCCAGUGGAGCGGUGAAAUGCAUUGAGAUCGGAAAGAACACCAACGACGAAAGCACUCUGUUGGGCCGACACUGACACUGAGAGACGAAAGCUAGGGGAGCAAAUAG
Molecule: ribosomal RNA, 406 nt
Filed under: uncultured bacterium
Lineage: Bacteria
Description: bacterial SSU rRNA
Rfam family: Bacterial small subunit ribosomal RNA
Source: RNAcentral